UCAGCUUCUUGGCCUUUUGGCUAAGAUCAAGUGUACUAUCUGUUCUUAUCAGUAUAUUUAUACCCUACCUUUUCUCUCCACAAGGAGACUCAAAGCAGUGUGCAUUAAAAUCAUUUCAAUACAAUUGAAAAUCGACACAUA
Small nuclear RNA from Anolis carolinensis (green anole), 141 nucleotides. Its record names the gene U2. It matches the Rfam family "U2 spliceosomal RNA". From Rfam's summary of the family: U2 is a small nuclear RNA (snRNA) component of the spliceosome (involved in pre-mRNA splicing). Lineage: Eukaryota; Metazoa; Chordata; Lepidosauria; Squamata; Anolidae. The record is from Ensembl.